Molecule: regulatory RNA element, 180 nt
Organism: Eubacterium sp. CAG:180
Lineage: Bacteria; Bacillati; Bacillota; Clostridia; Eubacteriales; Eubacteriaceae
Rfam family: Lysine riboswitch aptamer
About the family: Riboswitches are metabolite binding domains within certain messenger RNAs that serve as precision sensors for their corresponding targets. Allosteric rearrangement of mRNA structure is mediated by ligand binding, and this results in modulation of gene expression.
Source: Rfam
AACUGCGAUAGAGGUGCAGAAAUCAUCAGUAGCAUUUUGACAGACGCCGGACGUUGAUAACCGAUAUGUGAAAGGGAUUUUUGCCGAAAAAAGCAAUUGCUCCGGGCAAUGCUUUUUGGGCACAUUGUUAACAGCAAUGCGACUGUCAUCAUUUUGUUGUGAUGGAGAGCUAUCGACAUU